Rhagoletis zephyria (snowberry fruit fly) is the source of this 1149-nucleotide long non-coding RNA. RefSeq lists it as uncharacterized. The record is from RefSeq and is a predicted model, not a curated record. Lineage: Eukaryota; Metazoa; Arthropoda; Insecta; Diptera; Tephritidae.
UUAUCUACACAAUCAAUUUCAACACGACCGCCGUGGUGAGUAAGUCCGACGAAACACAAUGCGAAAGAAAAAGCACGAUAGCGAGUUGUAGUUGUUGUGGUUCAGUUCACGAAAGAAUUUUGUAAAAUUAACACAGAAAUCUGCGGGGUGCGCCGUUGUUCAGCAUGAAGUGAAAACAAAGUUCAUUAAAUAAAAGCAAAAACGUGCUACUAAGCAAAUCGAUAAAAUAUAUAUAAACGAUUUAAGACUGGAUUUCCAGACUAUUGCGGAGCGUUUUUAAUUAGUGAGUGUGUGAAGUUAAUUUGCAUAGAAACCGAUGAACAAACGAGCGAAGACACCAUUCCAUUGUUUGGGCCACACUUUUAUUAUUUCUUAUCUAAGUGAAAGUACGUUGGCCAAGUUCAAGGAUACGCACGUAGAGCGCGCGAUAGAACAGCAACAGUGGCAAUAGCAACAGCAGCAGCAACUAAAAAAAAAAAAAAUUAACAACAAAAACGAAUAAGUGCACAUUGGUGAAAGAAGAUUUUCUCACCAUAACGAAAGCAACAACAACAAAAAGCAAAUACAUUAACUUCAUUACUGAACGCAACAAGAGCGCACUUGGGGUUUUCACCGGACAGUGAACCAAAAACCACCUAAAAUCAAAUACAAUUUUCACCCUCCCCCAGCCACCUACAUAUGUACGUCAGCACCGACAACCCCUUGAAAAUACAGAGUUGAAAACAACAACACUUAAGUGCAUAUACACUUACAAAAAUUUGUUGCUUUUGUAUACAUAUGUAUGUACGUUUGUUAAAACUGUUUGCGAAUUUAGCUCGCGUCAAAUAACUGUGCUUUUUAAUACAUACUUAGUAUUAUGUAGUAGUCAGCCUUCUCGGUUGAACUGUGUGCGCGCGCGUUUGUUUUGCAUUGCCCACGUGGGCGGGAGGCCAAACAAUACUUAACACAGGAUCAUUCAACUUCACAGCAGCAACAGCAGUAAAAAAAUAAAGAACAUUUUCAACAAGUAGAUAUUUGAUUCCUUUGGAGGAAUUAACUCACACAAACAACGCACACACACUCAUUCGCAUUUCCAACCCCGCCCAAGAGUGCCGUCAUUGCCACCGGUGCAGUUGGCAAUCAGCCGUCUUCGCUUUGCAAACAAAAAAA